GAAGAAAGCUUGCUUUCUUUGCUGGCGACCGGCGCACGGGUGAGUAACACGUAUCCAACCUGCCCUUUACUCGGGGAUAGCCUUUCGAAAGAAAGAUUAAUACCCGAUAGCAUAAUGAUUCCGCAUGGUUUCAUUAUUAAAGGAUUCCGGUAAAGGAUGGGGAUGCGUUCCAUUAGGUUGUUGGUGAGGUAACGGCUCACCAAGCCUUCGAUGGAUAGGGGUUCUGAGAGGAAGGUCCCCCACAUUGGAACUGAGACACGGUCCAAACUCCUACGGGAGGCAGCAGUGAGGAAUAUUGGUCAAUGGGCGCUAGCCUGAACCAGCCAAGUAGCGUGAAGGAUGAAGGCUCUAUGGGUCGUAAACUUCUUUUAUAUAAGAAUAAAGUGCAGUAUGUAUACUGUUUUGUAUGUAUUAUAUGAAUAAGGAUCGGCUAACUCCGUGCCAGCAGCCGCGGUAAUACGGAGGAUCCGAGCGUUAUCCGGAUUUAUUGGGUUUAAAGGGAGCGUAGGUGGACUGGUAAGUCAGUUGUGAAAGUUUGCGGCUCAACCGUAAAAUUGCAGUUGAUACUGUCAGUCUUGAGUACAGUAGAGGUGGGCGGAAUUCGUGGUGUAGCGGUGAAAUGCUUAGAUAUCACGAAGAACUCCGAUUACGAAGGCAGCUCACUGG
Molecule: ribosomal RNA, 666 nt
Filed under: uncultured Bacteroidales bacterium
Lineage: Bacteria; Pseudomonadati; Bacteroidota; Bacteroidia; Bacteroidales
Description: bacterial SSU rRNA
Rfam family: Bacterial small subunit ribosomal RNA
Source: RNAcentral